UAUUGAGGAUUUGAAAAGUUUUUAUAUUAGUUAAAUACAUUAUUAGUAUUUUAAAUUAUGAUGAUUAUGAGAUAUUAAUUUUACUUUCUUAUUUUAAUGGGGUGUUAUGUCUGUGUACACAACUGCAUGCAUAUUUCUGUGGUCAUGUGUUCAGGGUAUUAUUUUGUGUUACUUUUUGUAAUGAGUAUUCUUUUUCCUCCUCAAUUUGUUUUAAUUAAAUUAUGUAAAAACCCAAAGCACCACCAUGUCCAUGAUUGUUUGAACAAGUUCAUUUGGAUGAUUUGCUUAAUUGUUUGAAGUAGUUUCUCCUUCAGAGACUGCUUAUCAAUACCAGCUGUGGCACUGUGGCUUUUCUCCAUGGACUCAUGGUGGUCUUUGGAACAACGUUCUUCAACUUUGACAGGAUAUUAUUUGGCCACCAAAAGGAAUGAAAUACUUGCAUAUGCCACAACAUGGAUGAACCUUGAAAACAUUAUGGUAAGUGAAAGAAGUCAGUCACAAAUGACCACACACUAUGUUAUUCCACUCAUAUGAACAUUUGGAAAAGGGACAUUUAUAGAGACAGAAAAUAAAUUAGUGGUUGCUCAGAGUUAUGGGGGAUGAGGAGUGAUAGCUUAA
Myotis brandtii (Brandt's bat) is the source of this 618-nucleotide long non-coding RNA. RefSeq lists it as uncharacterized. Lineage: Eukaryota; Metazoa; Chordata; Mammalia; Chiroptera; Vespertilionidae. The record is from RefSeq and is a predicted model, not a curated record. The transcript is spliced from 3 exons.